RNAcentral lists this ribosomal RNA (834 nucleotides) under Bacillus subtilis. RNAcentral describes it as "bacterial SSU rRNA". It matches the Rfam family "Bacterial small subunit ribosomal RNA", at positions 640 to 1461 of the family's 1533-position model. Lineage: Bacteria; Bacillati; Bacillota; Bacilli; Caryophanales; Bacillaceae. The record is from RNAcentral.
ACUUGAGUUGCAAGAAAGAGGAGGAAGAGGAAUUUACAACGUGUAAGAGGAGAAAAUACGUAGAGAAUGUGGAGGAACACCCAGUGGGGAAGGAGACUCUCUGGUCUGUAACUGACGCUGAGGAGCGAAAGCGUGGGGAGCGAACAGGAUUAGAUACCCUGGUAGUCCACACCGUAAACGAUGAGUGCUAAGUGUUAGGGGGUUUCCGCCCCUUAGUGCUGCAGCUAACGCAUUAAGCACUCCGCCUGGGGAGUACGGUCGCAAGACUGAAACUCAAAGGAAUUGACGGGGGCCCGCACAAGCGGUGGAGCAUGUGGUUUAAUUCGAAGGCAACGCGAAGAACCUUACCAGGUCUUGACAUCCUCUGACAAUCCUAGAGAUAGGACGUCCCCUUCGGGGGCAGAGUGACAGGUGGUGCAUGGUUGUCGUCAGCUCGUGUCGUGAGAUGUUGGGUUAAGUCCCGCAACGAGCGCAACCCUUGAUCUUAGUUGCCAGCAUUCAGUUGGGCACUCUAAGGUGACUGCCGGUGACAAACCGGAGGAAGGUGGGGAUGACGUCAAAUCAUCAUGCCCCUUAUGACCUGGGCUACACACGUGCUACAAUGGACAGAACAAAGGGCAGCGAAACCGCGAGGUUAAGCCAAUCCCACAAAUCUGUUCUCAGUUCGGAUCGCAGUCUGCAACUCGACUGCGUGAAGCUGGAAUCGCUAGUAAUCGCGGAUCAGCAUGCCGCGGUGAAUACGUUCCCGGGCCUUGUACACACCGCCCGUCACACCACGAGAGUUUGUAACACCCGAAGUCGGUGAGGUAACCUUUAGGGAGCCAGCCGCCGAAU